This 492-nucleotide ribosomal RNA is filed under the name uncultured bacterium. RNAcentral's name for it is "partial 16S ribosomal RNA". It matches the Rfam family "Bacterial small subunit ribosomal RNA", at positions 29 to 507 of the family's 1533-position model. The record is from RNAcentral.
AGUGAACGCUGGCGGUAGGCCUAACACAUGCAAGUCGAACGGCAGCACAGUAAGAGCUUGCUCUUACGGGUGGCGAGUGGCGGACGGGUGAGGAAUACAUCGGAAUCUACUUUUUCGUGGGGGAUAACGUAGGGAAACUUACGCUAAUACCGCAUACGACCUACGGGUGAAAGCAGGGGAUCUUCGGACCUUGCGCGAUUGAAUGAGCUGAUGUCGGAUUAGCUAGUUGGCGGGGUAAAGGCCCACCAAGGCGACGAUCCGUAGCUGGUCUGAGAGGAUGAUCAGCCACACUGGAACUGAGACACGGUCCAGACUCCUACGGGAGGCAGCAGUGGGGAAUAUUGGACAAUGGGCGCAAGCCUGAUCCAGCCAUACCGCGUGGGUGAAGAAGGCCUUCGGGUUUUAAAGCCCUUUUGUUGGGAAAGAAAAGCAGCAGGUUAAUACCCCGCUGUUCUGGCGGUACCCAAAGAAUAAGCACCGGCUAACUUCGUG